Long non-coding RNA from Daucus carota subsp. sativus, 2684 nucleotides. RefSeq lists it as uncharacterized. Lineage: Eukaryota; Viridiplantae; Streptophyta; Magnoliopsida; Apiales; Apiaceae. The transcript has 4 exons. The record is from RefSeq and is a predicted model, not a curated record.
UUCACUAGCCAUUCCCCAUUUAUAUUGUUCAGAAUACUUUCAUAUCUUUACACUGAUCAUGAUUUAAGCUUGGUCAUCUAACCCAUGAAGUGGAAUCAGAACCUUCCCAACUUAACUAUUUCAUCAUCCUCUUCUUUGUACAAAAAAUACAUUACUCUUAAAAGGACAACAGGGAUGUAACUGCGACAAAUACAGUGCUGUGUCACUCAUUUCAACCAAAACCGAAACAUGUUUAGUAUUCAGUGUCUCAGCUCUUACCAUCAGCAUCCUAAAAUCAUAUUCUUUUUCCCCUUUCAACUUGAAUCGAUACCCUUGUCUACAGUCAUUUCUACUACUAGAGUUUAUGAAGAAUUAUUGACUGUAAUCUCUUUUCUCUUUUCCUGCUAUCUCAUUCUUGUCCCAUUGUGAAACGCCAUAGAUACAACACUUGGGGCAGCUUUCUGAUUUGUUUAUAUGACACAAAACUCUCAUCAUAUAUUAGUUUGCUACUAGUGAUUGAAUUUUUAAUUUCUUCGAUUAACUGAGGUGGAGCAGCAGCAACGUGGAGACAGCAAUAUCUGUAUUUUUAGAGACUCUUGGUUAAAAGAGAUAUGAGGACCCUGAUGGCGCCACUUUGACAAAUCAUCAGCAGAACCUCAUAUUGGAUCUUCCUGAGAAUUGUGGUAAUAAUUUUUCAUUGGUAUAGGCACCAUGAGUUAGUAGUUCUAUUUUUUCAUUCGUUACUGACUACAUGAGUUGGAUGUUUCAAUUGCAAUACAGGGUCUGUGAUGGGGGCAUCAAUUCACAAGUCAUGCGCACAUUGAUCCUACAUUUGAGCUUCUUGAUGACUGUUUAGAUUUAUUUUUAUCUCUCUCCGCCACUGUGACAAUAAAUCCUGUUCUCUUAUUUGCUGGAGCUGGUUGCUCGUUGAAGGUCAAAGACGAUGGUAUCUUUACCUCAGAAUUGAAUCGAGCAUUAUUUCCCUAACUCCAGCUCUGUUUUCUCGAUAUGACUACUCUGUCACAACUCUUGUUCUCAGCAAAAGCCUAAACGACGAAGCCUUGAAUUUGAUCUCCAUUAAGUGCCCGACUCUUGAACACCUCAGACACUACGGAUUUUUCAGCAAGGUGACAGAAGUUGGCAUUGCUGCUUUAGCCAUGCAAGCAACACGUUUGAAAAAAUUGUUGUGUCAAAUCUCAUGUUUAAGGCUAAAAAAUUAAAUGAUUUGGUAAAGAACGGUUUGUCACGAAGUGCUCAUAUUUGGCUAUUGGUACUGAGUUGAUUGGUCUUCCUUAAAAUCUAUAUGCUUGAAGGAUUUCUAUCACCCUCCGUGGUGCCUAAAACACUUUCCAGCACUUAUAAUUGAGUCAAUAAAUCUGAGGUCAAUGAGAUUGGUGCACUGCUCUGGUGAUUGGGAUAGAGUGACAGUCACUGAUUCUGGCCUUUCAACUCUAUGUAAUUGUUCAAAAUUGGAGGAUUGACAUAUCAGUAGAACUCCCAAGUGCACAAAGAGGCGGAACUUUAUCACUUGUGAAGCACUGCAAGUUAUUAAGGAAGCUUUGUGUUGAGGUGAAGUACACAACAAAAUAUAAGAGAAGAUAUCCUUGUUGCCAUUGGUAUAAUUAGUACUCUACAGGUUUCUGAAUUCCCGAGAGAGAUCAUAGUUUUUGGCGUGCUGAAAACGAUUGCCAGAUGUCACUCAUCUGAGGAUGGGGCGUGGAGAUGGCUAGCUGAUCUUUGGUGUUAGUUGCAAAGUAUAUCUAGUUAUAUAUUAGGAAUAUCUAGCUAGUUUCUGUUUAGUAUUUUCCACACACUUUUAUCUUUGUUCAGCCUACCUAUGCUGUGUUUGAUUUGGUUUUCGGCACUAUGAAUGGAGCCCUCAAACUUGUUGGUACAAUAUAGGUGACCGAUGUUGGCAUGGUCUCUUUAGGCAGGAUUGCCACCCAUUUGAAAAAGUUCUUGUGUCGAACUUGUUGGUUUGGAGCUAAAGCAUUGAAUGUUUUGCUCUCUCAGUCCUCUUCUCCCGAGAUAAUCACUGUCCAAAAACUCUAUGGUAUGGUAUAUUGAUUCCACUUCAGUUCUCGAGGUAAUCUCUGUCCGCAAACUCAAUGAUAUAUAUGAUUCUGAGGUGAUAUAUCCUUCCUGGUGCAGCGGCUUCUUCGUUAAAAUCAAUAUACUUGAAUAAUAUCCAUGACCCUGCCUGGCCUCGAUGCUUUCCACUACUUAUAACUGGAUCAUGGAAUCUUAUAUUACUAAGAUUGUUCUGAUGCUAGGGUGAUCGGGCAACAUGUUGAAUAUGCUUGCAAAUCGAGGGUGGAACUGAAGGAACAUGGUUUUGUUGAAAUUCCUAAGCAUAAUCAAUGUUAAAGUUGGAGACUUUAUGGUUGUCAAAUACCAGAAAGAUGUUACUCUUGUUGGGAAGAUUUGCUGAUGGACUAGCUGUAAAGAAAUUGUGUUAAAUCCAGGCAUUACCUGGUUCUCGGCACUAGCAUGAUCUAAUGAAAAUGAGGGUGAACAAGUGUAGAGCAGUGCUGAUCUGAGUAGAGUAAUUUAAUUGUUGUGGUAGAAACUAUAAUUACAUCCCAAAUCACAUGAGCACUGCAUUAUAAUUAGUUGAGACAUGAGACUAAAAGUACUGUAAUUUGCAUUCGUGCUUUUAUUCCUUUUGUUUCAAGUUUCACUCUUGGUCACACUAUUGCUGGAUA